GAGGCAGCUUAGCCCAGCGGUUCCAUCGACCAGUGCAUAGCUUGGAGCCUGCAAUCACCCACAGUGGCUUGAAACCCACGGGCACUGCCUGGCUUUUAA
RNAcentral lists this vault RNA (99 nucleotides) under Podarcis muralis (Common wall lizard). Its description in RNAcentral is "Vault RNA (ENSPMRG00000010814.1)". It matches the Rfam family "Vault RNA". Rfam says of the family: This family of RNAs are found as part of the enigmatic vault ribonucleoprotein complex. The complex consists of a major vault protein (MVP), two minor vault proteins (VPARP and TEP1), and several small untranslated RNA molecules. The record is from Rfam by way of RNAcentral. Lineage: Eukaryota; Metazoa; Chordata; Lepidosauria; Squamata; Lacertidae.